GGUAAUGCUGGAAGGUGGUCUGAUAGGAGAAUUGAGAGCAUGCCCAGGAGUAGACAUAGAACUGCUGCCAGAAGCAGUAGUGGUAGCAGGGAUAGAAAUAACUUGAUGGAGAGGAGCUACAGAAAGAGGACCUGCUGGUAUAGACCAGGCAGAAGUGGGAGGAGAAGAAGAUGUGGUAGCAGCAGGAGAAGUUGAAGGAAAUAGAGAAGCAUAAGGGAAUCGUGUCUCAUGAAACAAAACAUCCUUAGAGAUGUAGAUACGACCAGUGGCUGCAAGACACUUAUAGCCCUUAUGGUUAGUGGAGUAGCCAAGA
RNAcentral lists this long non-coding RNA (313 nucleotides) under Lathyrus oleraceus (garden pea). RNAcentral describes it as "Pisum sativum (pea) long non-coding RNA (PSAT_LNC010076)". The record is from RNAcentral. Lineage: Eukaryota; Viridiplantae; Streptophyta; Magnoliopsida; Fabales; Fabaceae.